CACCCCCCGCUCCUCCUCCCCCGAUUUUUUUCCCUUCGAGAGGGUUCGUUCGUUCGUUCGCUCGCUCGCUCUUCCAUCUCUUCCUCGCAGCAGCUCUUCGAUCUCUUCCUCGCCAUGCCUCCCUUCCACGAUUGCCGUGGUAAGCAAGGGCCCCGAACUGAAUUGGGAUCGCCUGCCUGUUUGUACGUUGUUUCGCCGGAGAUCUGGAGGAAUUUUUUGCUUCGGCGUGCUGAUUUUCUGUGUGUUUGUUUGUUCGUGUAGAUGGCGGUCUGCUUGUCCUGGACCCAGUUGCGGAGGCUCUGUUCAGUGGCAUGCGGCAUCGGAAGCGUGCGCGCGUGACGGCCGUGCACCCCCGCGUCUUCGCCGCUGCAGAGGAGGCGCUCCGGGCGGCGCCGGUGGCCAAGAGGCAGAGACUAAGGGAGGCGCCNNN
This 430-nucleotide long non-coding RNA is filed under the name Hordeum vulgare. RNAcentral describes it as "long non-coding RNA (HVUL_LNC018041)". Lineage: Eukaryota; Viridiplantae; Streptophyta; Magnoliopsida; Poales; Poaceae. The record is from RNAcentral.